GCCGCCUGGUUUAGCUGGUUCUACAUUUUGUAUCCAUGGAAGCCCGAUUUCUUUUCUAAUAACUUUACCAUCCUAUUUUCAAAAAUUGAAGUUACUGGAACAGCUUCAUUAUUUUCCCUAGCAGUGAAACAGCCAUAGGUCUGUUAGUCUAUUUUAUCAUGUAAUUCAGGACUCAGGAGCAAGCUGUGUAAUCUGUACUGUAUAAUUUAUGCAUGUUGGGUAGUGCAACCAAGGAAUACAAUUAGGUGGUACAGACUGAAAUUACA
Long non-coding RNA from Telopea speciosissima, 266 nucleotides. RefSeq lists it as uncharacterized. NCBI's taxonomy places the organism in Eukaryota, Viridiplantae, Streptophyta, Magnoliopsida, Proteales, Proteaceae. The record is from RefSeq and is a predicted model, not a curated record. The transcript has 3 exons.